This 189-nucleotide non-coding RNA is filed under the name Desulfobacca acetoxidans. RNAcentral also lists the same sequence under 1 other name. Lineage: Bacteria; Pseudomonadati; Thermodesulfobacteriota; Desulfobaccia; Desulfobaccales; Desulfobaccaceae. The record is from RNAcentral.
UAAUAGGGUCAUAUUACAGGCGCCCUUCGGGGCUUAAAAGGGAAGCCGGUGCAAGUCCGGCAUGGUCCCGCCGCUGUAACCGGGGACGAUACCUGCGAGAUACCACUGCCCGUGCUGAAGCCGGGUGGGAAGGUGCAGGAAUAAGGAUGAUCCGGGAAUCAGAAGACCUGCCUGUAAAUCAAUAUGUAU